Molecule: long non-coding RNA, 1357 nt
Filed under: Nicotiana tabacum (common tobacco)
Lineage: Eukaryota; Viridiplantae; Streptophyta; Magnoliopsida; Solanales; Solanaceae
Description: long non-coding RNA (NTAB_LNC004879)
Source: RNAcentral
AAGCCAAGAAAAAUAGAAAGAAAACUGGAAUUUCCGAUGAAGAUUUGAAGAGAAAUAAUUUGAAAAUUCGAUUUCUUUCUUUCUGGGCUUCGAAAAGUUGUUCUUGAGCUGUGGAAUAGCUGUAUUGUCGCUGUUGUUGCUGGCAACCGUACUGAGCUCUGUUUGGUUUCGAUUUCGCCUUUAUUUGCCCAACUUGUUGGUGAUUUCACUGUUCAGCUAGGUCAGUUCUUAAAUUCCUUGUAUUAUGUUUUCGUUGAAUGAUUGACGAUUGGGCGAAUUCCAAUUAACUAUUUUAUAUAUGCCAAAGUUAAGAAUUCUGUUACUUUAAUGUGCCAUGAAUGUAUAUUUUUAAUUUGAUUGAAACGUUUAAAUGACUCAAAAUGAGAUGUUUUAUGUGAAUUACGCAUUUCAUGCUCUCAAUUAGGACAUUGUUGUUAGUUGUGAGUUUUUGAUUGGUUGGAUUUGUAACGUCAAAGCUAAGAGAUAUGCUCUAGGAGUAGUUCAUAUGUUGCUGGUAAGUUAUUGUAUGCAAAUUUGUAUUUAACUGACUCUCAACGAUUUCAAACAUCAUUUCUAUCCUAGUUCAGUUAGAUAGUCCGUCACUGGCGGAUUGAUUUUGAAUUGAGUUUCGUCCGUAGGAACAGCUUCGCAUUUUAGUCUUGAAAUAUUCUGUCAGGUUCAAAGCGAUCCAUAGUUGCUGCAAAUUAGCUCCAAGACAGAUGCGUUACUGCUGAAAAUCAGCCAUGAAAACUCCAUUUUUCCGCCACGGAAUCCAAUUCUUAAAGCUACCUUAAACCACUCCAAAAUCUAGCCAUAACAAGCAGUAAAACGCAGCAAAACCCGCUGCAAGGCUGCCGAAAAAUAGCUCCAAAGCAGGCCCAAAUCAGCGCCCCAGAAAUGCUGAAAGCAGAUCGCCAAAAUACCCCCAAAAUAGCCCAGUAACGACCUAAAAUACAACCCUGCUUCUUGGUGAAAAUUAGCUACAAAACAGCCCCCAAACUACUCAAUAACGAGCUCAUAUCCACUCCAAAAAUGCAGCAACACCAGCUGCGAAGAUCAGUUGCAAAUCAGUCCAAAUACUACAUCAAAUUCCACCCUAAAAUAGCAGCAAAAACAACUACAACACAGCCUCCCCCCCCCCCCCCAGGACCACCCGUUAACCACCUAUUGUGGCCAUUUAAUACCACCAAUAACUUAACUCAAUCCAAGUUCUUAAUCUUUUAAGUUUUGGUUUGUUCUAGGUUUUGGUUCAAGGUCGUUGUUAAGUUUGUGGUUGACCGAUUCUGUUCUAUUAGAAGUUCCAUGUUUCGCCUUUUGUUUGGAGAAAAAUCAAAACUACCAGAAUUCCUUGUAUUGU